UGGGGAAUAUUGCACAAUGGGGGAAACCCUGAUGCAGCGACGCCGCGUGAGUGAAGAAGUAUUUCGGUACGUAAAGCUCUAUCAGCAGGGAAGAAAAAAAGUCCUUUGGACUUUGGACGGUACCUGACCAAGAAGCCCCGGCUAACUACGUGCCAGCAGCCGCGGUAAUACGUAGGGGGCAAGCGUUAUCCGGAUUUACUGGGUGUAAAGGGAGCGUAGACGGCAGCGCAAGUCUGGAGUGAAAUGCCGGGGCCCAACCCCGGAACUGCUUUGGAAACUGUGCAGCUCGAGUGCAGGAGAGGUAAGCGGAAUUCCUAGUGUAGCGGUGAAAUGCGUAGAUAUUAGGGGGAACACCAGUGGCGAAGGCGGCUUACUGGACUGUAACUGACGUUGAGGCUCGAAAGCGUGGGGAGCAAACAGG
Molecule: ribosomal RNA, 421 nt
Filed under: uncultured bacterium
Lineage: Bacteria
Description: bacterial SSU rRNA
Rfam family: Bacterial small subunit ribosomal RNA
Source: RNAcentral